Topomyia yanbarensis is the source of this 1023-nucleotide long non-coding RNA. RefSeq lists it as uncharacterized. The record is from RefSeq and is a predicted model, not a curated record. The transcript has 3 exons. NCBI's taxonomy places the organism in Eukaryota, Metazoa, Arthropoda, Insecta, Diptera, Culicidae.
CGUUUUGAAGGAGAAGCAAUGGACAUUUUUGAGCUGCUUAUCUAAACUACUAGGUACAUUUUCACAUAAACUAUCCAUUUCCAAUACAUUAAUAUAAACAUUUUCGCACAAACAUAAAGUGCACAUAUACAAUUCAGAUUUGUUCAAGUUGAUCAACUGAUAAAAUGGCCAAUGAUGGCCCUUCAGGUACUUUCUUCACAUACACGAUACCAAGUUUCGUAGAUACAGCAGCCAAUUUUCUCUCCCGGCGUAGUUGAAGUGCGGCACGUUUAAUCAUUCUAGCUUGCACAGUGAGGUUCUCGUUGAUGUAAAUUCGACGAUCCAAAUCCAUCCCGAUGUGUACGAGGUUCAAAUCUCGUUUCAGCAUGUAUUUCGCAUAAAAUUCGUCUCUGAGGCAAGCCAUCGAAAAUUGCAGGAGAAUAAAACAUCGGUCACCAGCAGCCAAGUUGCCAGAGCAUGACUGCGAAGAUUUUCACUGUUGAGAUAUGGUAUGCCAGUAAUGAUCAAUUCCGUCCUAUUCUCAAGCCGAUGGACAUUUUCUACUGUCGAGUCAACCAAGGAUUUGACCGCCUUAAUAUCUGUUUUGAAAGACUGUAACUCAGAUGAACAGUUUGACUUCAAAUCGUCGAUAUCAGCCUUAACUGUAUUGAUUUGCUUUUGGAGAUCUUGUUUUAUAUCGUCUAGUUUGGCAUUUAAGUCAGCUUUCAUGGAGUCAAUUUUUGCGUUAGUUUCAUCGAAUCGCUUGGUUAACAUCUGCAUAGCAAUUUCCAAGACAUCAUCACAACAGUUGAUUGACACCACACAACACAGUUGUAAUAGUCACCGAGUGUAAGUAGUUGUAUGGAACAAACGAUCGCCAACACAGAAGACCACUUGCAAAUGGCGCCAAUUACUCGUUUCUGCUACUUUUAAUGAUUCAUGAAAACUCACAGAUGGGCAAUUUUUGUUUCAAGAUAACACACGACGGACAUCCAGUUAAGUUUAAUAAACGAAUGAAAGGUUCUACUUCAUACUUAAAAACCA